RNAcentral lists this ribosomal RNA (493 nucleotides) under uncultured bacterium. RNAcentral describes it as "bacterial SSU rRNA". It matches the Rfam family "Bacterial small subunit ribosomal RNA", at positions 28 to 524 of the family's 1533-position model. The record is from RNAcentral.
GACGAACGCUGGCGGCGUGCUUAACACAUGCAAGUCAAGGGGGCCCGACGCAAUGGGCGAACCGGCGGAACGGGUGCGUAACACGUGAGCAACCUACCGAACUGUGGGGGAGUAGCCGGCCUAACGGCCGAGUAAUACCGCAUACGCUCUCAGGGAGGCAUUUCUUUGAGAGGAAACCUACGGGACAGAUCGAGGGGCUCGCGGCCUAUCAGCUAGUUGGCGAGGUAACGGCUCACCAAGGCAACGACGGGUAGCUGGUCUGAGAGGAUGGCCAGCCACAUUGGGACGUGAGAUACGGCCCAGACUCCUACGGGAGGCAGCAGUGGGGAAUCUUGCGCAAUGGCCUAACGGCUGACGCAGCGACGCCGCGUGUGGGAUGAAGCUCUUCGGAGUGUAAACCACUGUUGCCCGGGACGAACAGCUCGAUUUCUCGAGCCUGACGGGUACCGGGUGAGGAAGCACCGGCUAACUCCGUGCCAGCAGCCGCAGUAAC